Molecule: long non-coding RNA, 1339 nt
Organism: Ornithorhynchus anatinus (platypus)
Lineage: Eukaryota; Metazoa; Chordata; Mammalia; Monotremata; Ornithorhynchidae
Exons: 4
Source: RefSeq, a predicted model, not a curated record
AUGAAUGAAUGAAUGAAUGAAUGAAAGGCUGUUGAACAAUAGGUUGAUGAGGGGGUGGUGGAGGAAUGUCUGUGUUUUGGAGAAACUGCAUUUUCCGCAUCUCCAAAUAUUUGCUUCUCAACUUGCGGGAGUCCUAGCAGUCCACUCAUGCCGGGGAGUGCCGUUGGUGGGAAUCGAGGCCCUGGGGCCCCAUCGACCAUCUCAGAGCCGCUUGGAGACCACUGAUUCUCCUGGAGACAUGAGCGUCUGGUGAUUUAGAUGUGGUCCUCAGCUGCGGACAGAAGGCAGGGUGAGAAACCCAAACCUUCGGGAUCACUGAUCUAGGUGUCCCCGCCAGGGUUUGAGAUGGGCAUCGGCCAGGACCGGCGGAGCAGCUCUAAUUAUUCCCCACCGUCAUCGGACCGACGUUCCGAGGUCCGAUACCGUGUUGACGGAGGAGGUCUUGGGCGGCGAGUCCCCCCCCAGUUGCGUGGCCAAGAGGCUCCGAGACCCGUCAGGAAGUCCCGCAGCCUAAAAGCCCGGCGGUGCCCAGGUUGGGGGUGGGAUGACUGAGGAGAGACUCUGACGGGCUACCGCUCCCUCGCCAGAAGCUGCCCAAUACGCUUCCCCGGCCUCGAUGAUCAUCCCUCUGCAGUUUGGACAGUCGGGUCAAUUCUCGAACUUUCCCUGCUGACAAGCUGGAGCCGUGAUCAAACCUCCUGUGCCUCCAGUUUUGCAUUCACGGCCAUAGGCCCCGAAGAAGGAACUCUUCUGUGUCUGACAAAGGUUUCUCAAGGGAAACCAGGAGCAGUUAUAGACCACUCAGGCCGGGGGGCACUGUCAGGGGGGAAUCCAGGCUCCAGGCCCUCCUCCACCAUCUCACAGCCGGUGAGAAUGAAUCUGACUUGGUAUUCUCUUGUCCUCAGCAGUGCGGAUUCCCCUCCCUCACUGACUCCCAUGCCAGUCGCCUUCAUCCUCUGUUCUAGACUUCUACCGAGUCAGAGGAAGAGCAAGGAAGACCAACUUUCUUCCCCAACUUCCUCCUUGUCAUGGAGGCAACUGGCAGUGCUGAAUACUGUGCUCUGUUGUUACUAUGACUGUUAUUAGUGGUACUAUGCUAUCACUACCACCAAAGACUCUAGUGACACUGAAGCCACUGGAUUUGCCCUGUCCCCCAAUGUUCUUCUUCCUUCCCAGCUCUCUCUCAGCUGCCUGAUUUCAAAAUCAGGCCCCUCAAACCUGGCCUCUGAUAUCUCUUGAUCUCACUGCCUGAACACUUCCAUCCACUUUUCUUGCCUUCCUGAUGAGCAUCUAAACCAGUCCUUCUGCCGAAUCAAUUCCUUCCCCACUGCUUUUCACU